AUUGAAGGGUUUGAUCCUGGCUCAGAAUGAACGUUGGCGGCGUGGAUUAGGCAUGCAAGUCGCGCGAGAAGAGUUUGGUGCUUGCAUUAAACUCGGACAGCGGCGCAAGGGAGAGUAACGCGUGGAUAUCUGCCCUCGGCUCCAGAAUAGCUACGGGAAACUGUAGGUAAUGCUGGAUAAUAUCUCCGGAUCAAAGGUGUGAUUCCGGCCGAGGAUGAGUCCGCGUCCUAUUAGAUUGUUGGUGGGGUAAUGGCCUACCAAGUCGAAGAUGGGUACCGGGUGUGAGAGCAUGGCCCGGCUCACUGGGACUGAGACACUGCCCAGACACCUACGGGUGGCUGCAGUCGAGAAUCUUCGGCAAUGGGCGCAAGCCCGACCGAGCGACGCCGCGUGCGGGAUGAAGGCCUUCGGGUUGUAAACCGCUGUCAGAGGGG
Molecule: ribosomal RNA, 434 nt
Filed under: Planctomycetota bacterium
Lineage: Bacteria; Pseudomonadati; Planctomycetota
Description: bacterial SSU rRNA
Rfam family: Bacterial small subunit ribosomal RNA
Source: RNAcentral